UCUUUGGCCGAGUGGUUAAGGCGCACGCCUGCUAUUGUGUCAAACAGACCUUUCGUGCAGUAAAAUGCACUUGAACUGGCGCUCGAUCGUUAGUGUGUGGGCUCUGCCCGCGAGAGUUCGAAUCUCUCAGGA
RNAcentral lists this transfer RNA (132 nucleotides) under Chloropicon laureae. The record is from RNAcentral. Lineage: Eukaryota; Viridiplantae; Chlorophyta; Chloropicophyceae; Chloropicales; Chloropicaceae.